GGCUCAUUGGUGAAAUGGUAGACACAGGAGAUUCAAAACCUCCCGCAAGAGAUUGCAUAUCGGUUCAAGUCCGAUAUGAGCCACCA
This 86-nucleotide transfer RNA is filed under the name Mesomycoplasma lagogenitalium. RNAcentral describes it as "tRNA-Leu". It matches the Rfam family "tRNA". Rfam says of the family: Transfer RNA (tRNA) molecules are approximately 80 nucleotides in length. Lineage: Bacteria; Bacillati; Mycoplasmatota; Mycoplasmoidales; Metamycoplasmataceae. RNAcentral also lists the same sequence under 8 other names. The record is from RNAcentral.